UGAAUAAAGCCAUGCUUGGGUACAUUUCCAGUUUCAACAAGGUAAAGUGCAUAUUUCAGUGUACGCAUUGUGUAGGAACUAGUAGGAUCUGUGUAAUACUGCAUGAUAAGAUAAAUAAUAAUUACAAAAUCAAGCUAUACUCUUUUUAUCCUAUGAUGCAAAAUCAUGAAUCAUAUUAUUUACCGGAUCUUUCCUUGUUAAUCCUUCCUUUGUCUUUCUAAAUGCUAGCUCUUUUACCCAUCCUUCAGGCAAUCCACUUGGGUGAAAGUCCACUAUUGCAAGUAGCUGCAAAUACAAAAAAGGAGAAAAUAAGAAAAAAAUCAUUCAAAGAUAUGAUGUGUUCUUUAGGUAAGAAGUUAUAGCAAGAGCCACAUGUUAUCUUUAGAACUGAUAUCACAUUGUCCAUUUAUAUCAUAUCGGGAGAUGAUUCGCCCAUUAAUAUAGAGUAUAACAUCUUGUUUUGAUAGCAGUCGCACUCCAGUCUUUUGGCAAACAUAAAAAUGCAAAGAAAAUCAUAUUGACAGUCAAUAAUAGUUAUCAAAAUAUGUAUUAAUAUUUUUUACUGACACACCAAACAAUUUGCACUUGGUACCUAUGUUUAUUCCAUGAGUUAUGAGUCCACAAGGCAGCAUAUAGCUUUCUUUAUAAUAAGUUACUCGAAGGCGACAAUUGACUAAAGAAACAUUAAACAAAUACCCCCUCACUGAAUAUGCAAUACAUAGAAAGCAAAGAAUACAAGAUAUUAUACUGAACUUCAAAAUAUGGCAAUAAUUCUUUCAUAAACAGGUAUUGCCUACCCCACCUAUAUGUGUAUAGGGUUGUACUCAAUGCCUUGAAAAAUUCCUAUUCAUUAUUGGCAUAAACUCAUAUCAAACGAAAUGGUGCAUACCAUUGAAUGUUUGUACUUGAUAAUUGUAUUACAAACAAAAAUGUAUGUGUAUCAUGUGUAUUCAUGAUAGUUCUGAAAGGAAGAAACUUCUUGCAUGAAGUAUAUCCUUAUUAAUUUUGUGUAGAUAUUUUCUUUACACAUUAUAACUAAUAAAAUAUCACCAAUGUGAUCCACACAUACACAUAAUAUUCAAAUGAUAUAAAUUCCCGGCAUAACAACAUACAUCAUAUUGUUUUAUGCAUGUUGACAAUAUUAUCCAAGAGCCAAUUACUCAUAAUCUUGUUAAUUCAAAAAAAUAUUUUAUUGGCAAUUAUAAGCAAUGUAUUUUUCUUAUCUACUAUUAAUAAAUUCCACAUCUUAGAGCUUGGGAUUUUUCUAGUUUUCAUGUAACAACUCAUAUGCAAAUAAAAGAACAUUCCAAUAAUGCACAAGUUAUCUUAAAAUCAUCAUUGACAUUAGAGCAUCCAAGUAAAGAAAAACAAAUAGAACAUAGAACAUAUAUUAAAUAUCAAGCAAGGUAAAAACUGACCAAGUCAUGGCUUUAUACCUUAUACAUCUUGUCCAUCUUCUCACCACCAACUCUGAUCUCCAUCACCCACCCCUUUGGAAGCCAUUCUCGUUCUUUCCGCGAGAUGCCAACAUAACAGAUAUAACAUCAUGUCUAAAAUAAAAAUUCAAAACAUCAAAGAUUGUAUCCGUGCACCUAAAGCGUGCUUUCCACACCACAUUCCUUUAUUUCUAGUAUACGCUCAUAUGUCUGAGAAAAAAGGUACUCCAACACCUCUGACUUCUUGGAGAAUGUGCGAUCUGAUAUAGGAGAAGUAUAAUACUACAUUAUAAUCAGUUGAAAAGUUUAAUGAAAAAUCACGAACCUCGUACCAGAAAAGUAAUAGUCAGAUGCAAAUUAUGUACAUGAGAAAAUUCAUACUCGAUUGAUGGUGCCAUCUUCAGCACGGUAGACUUCCAUGAUCCAACCAUCAAGGAGCCAAUUUGGUGGCUCUGCUAAUGCCUCAAUAUCCUCUUCAUCUUCCUCAUUCGUAGCAAUCGGCUACUUUGCCUCCUCCUCAUCUGACACCAUAGUCACAGACUUGUCAUCCAUUUGUCAAGGAGGGUUUGGCUACGAUAUUCC
This 2018-nucleotide long non-coding RNA is filed under the name Setaria viridis. Its description in RNAcentral is "long non-coding RNA (SVIR_LNC010232)". The record is from RNAcentral. Lineage: Eukaryota; Viridiplantae; Streptophyta; Magnoliopsida; Poales; Poaceae.